Triticum aestivum (bread wheat) is the source of this 115-nucleotide non-coding RNA. NCBI's taxonomy places the organism in Eukaryota, Viridiplantae, Streptophyta, Magnoliopsida, Poales, Poaceae. The record is from Rfam.
CAAGUACUCCCUCCGUCCAGAAUUACUUGUCAUCAAAAUGGAUGUGUCUAGAACUAAAAUACAUCUAGAUACAUCCAUUUCAAUGACAAGUAUUUUCGGACGGAGGGAGUACAAG